Molecule: ribosomal RNA, 488 nt
Filed under: uncultured bacterium
Lineage: Bacteria
Description: bacterial SSU rRNA
Rfam family: Bacterial small subunit ribosomal RNA
Source: RNAcentral
GAUGAACGCUAGCGGCAGGCCUAACACAUGCAAGUCGAGGGGCAUCAUGGCGUAGCAAUACGCUGAUGGCGACCGGCGCACGGGUGCGUAACGCGUAUGGAACCUACCCACCGCAGGGGGAUAACCCGCCGAAAGGCGGACUAAUACCCCAUGGUUCCCCGACCCUGCCUGGGGUUGGGGGUAAAGCCUACGGGCGGCGGUGGAUGGCCCUGCGUGCCAUUAGCUGGCUGGUGGGGUAACGGCCCACCAGGGCGACGAUGGCUAGGGGGUCUGAGAGGACGAUCCCCCACACUGGUACUGAGACACGGACCAGACUCCUACGGGAGGCAGCAGUGAGGAAUAUUGGUCAAUGGGGCGGAAGCCUGAACCAGCCAUGCCGCGUGCAGGAUGACGGCCCUACGGGUUGUAAACUGCUUUUCCACGGGAAGAACCCUCCGACGUGUCGGAGACUGACGGUACCGUGGGAAUAAGCAUCGGCUAACUCCGUG